UGCUGACCUCUCAGUGUCAUCUCACCAUGGAUGUUGCCGACAAGCUCGUAGAUAAAAUCUUCUCCUGGGUGAAACUACAGAGAGAAUGUGCAGAUAAGCUGAAGAAACUAGCCACUGAGCUGGAGGAAAACCAGCAGAAUGUUAAUGUCUCUAAGGUUGUUGGGAGCUCGGUGUCUGUAGGUGGUGCAGUUGCACUGACAGUGGCAGGUGUAGCAACCAUCUUUACAGGAGGGUUAGCAAUACCAGUUCUAGCUGCAGCAGGAGCAGUAGCAUCAGGGGCUGGUUUGGCGACCAGUGUGGGAUCUGAUAUCGUUGGAGCAACCAAGUCAAGUAACACCAUGACAGAGGCAAGGUGGUGCCACUCCUGUCAGGGUUUGUUGGAGAGUUGACCACAGGUGUAAUCACCAAAGCAGGAAUUAAAAAAGCAGGAAAAGAAAUUUUCAAAAAUAGCGUCACCAAGGCGGCCACAUCUGUAGGAAUGAAAACAUCUGCAAAAUGAAUUGGACGUGUUGGUGGAGGAGCGAUUGGACUUCUGAUUUCAGUUCCUGAGUUGAUUUACAACAUUCAGACUCUGGAGCAAUCUGAGACGGAAGUCAGUAAGAAUCUCAAAGAGAAGGCUGAAGCCAUGAAAACAGCUUCUGAGGAGAUGAAAACAGAACUGGACAAAAUCGAAAAGCUGCUUCAGGAGAUGGACAAAAGAUAACGUGAAGAGGAAGAAAAGCUAAUCAGAGAGAAAGAUGAAAGAGAGAAAGAAGAAAGAGAAAAAGAAGAAAGAGAGAAGCUUAUUGGAGAGAAAGAAGAAAGAGAGAAAAGGAGAAGAGAGAGAGAAGAAAGACAGAAGAAGAAAAAAAAGAAAAAAGAAAGAGAGAAGAAGAGAAAAGCGGAAGAAGAAAGAGAGAAGCUUGUCAGACAGAAAGAAGAAAGCGAAAACAAGAAAAGAGAGAAAGAAGAAAGAGAAAAAGAAGAAAACUUGGUGUCAGAAAUGACAGAGUAUUAGAUCAUUACACUGUAUAUUUCAACGCAAGACCAGAAUCAAUAGAAACAG
Long non-coding RNA from Lates calcarifer (barramundi perch), 1045 nucleotides. RefSeq lists it as uncharacterized. NCBI's taxonomy places the organism in Eukaryota, Metazoa, Chordata, Actinopteri, Centropomidae. The transcript has 3 exons. The record is from RefSeq and is a predicted model, not a curated record.